RNA transcript from Homo sapiens (human), 979 nucleotides. It is a transcript of the gene named H2B.W histone 4, pseudogene, with no coding region annotated. The transcript is spliced from 4 exons. The record is from RefSeq and is marked validated. NCBI's taxonomy places the organism in Eukaryota, Metazoa, Chordata, Mammalia, Primates, Hominidae.
GGAAGACCAGAGCAUCCAGGAGCCCAAAGAGGCCAACUCCAUGACGGCCCAGAAGCAGAAGAAGUGAGGGCUUCGAGGCUCCCGUAGGCGCCAUGCCAACAGCGGUGGAGAUAUCUUCGGGGACAGCUUUGCCGCCUAUUUCCCCCGGGUGCUGAAGCAGGUUCACCAGGCCCUCAGCCUUUCCCAGGAGGCCGUGAGUGUCAUGGAUUCUAUGGUUCGUGACAUACUGGACCGCAUCGCCACCGAGGCUGGUCACCUGGCCCACUACUCCAAGUGCGUGACCAUCACCUCCCGGGACAUUCGGAUGGCCGUGUGCCUGCUGCUGCCGGGGAAGAUGGGCAAGCUCGCUGAGUCUCAGGGCACGAAUGCCACCCUCAGAACUUCAUUAUGUGCGAUAUGGCAAGAGAGAAAGUGAAUACGCUGAUAUAAGAAGCAAGAAACCUUCCUUCCUUCCAGAUGUGUGUCAGUAGAAUUACAGAGUGUCCACGGAAACAGCUCAUGCCCUAGUGUACAGUGGUGCAGCCAAUGAGUGACCUGAAGUCUAUGAGCAACACUCAUUGUCCCAAUGUGGGACGAGUGACCGAAGCUGAACCCACAACAGCCUUCCUGUGAUAUUCCACGUGGUGGUUAAAGAAUAUUAGAAAAAUAUUAUGAAAAUAGUUGAAGAGAAAUGUUAUGAAAAUAGUUGAAGCUGUACUUACUGCACAAGGAGACCAAGAAAAACUCCCACAAAAUCAGCUGCAAGUAAAUCCCUCUGGAUGGUGCCGCCACAUGUUCCUACAAGUCCAGAACAACCCUUGCCAAACCAAAGACACUUGGCAGAACCCUGUUCCUUUCUAGAGACAGAGCUGUAUACCUGUUCCAAAACACCACAUCUCACUCAGUGACUUAUUUCUCAUUAUGCUAAUUGUUUUGCUGUAAAGUGCCAAUGUUUCUGUGAAUUAAGACAUACGAAUAAAUUUCUGAAGUUACCCUUGCA